RNAcentral lists this unclassified non-coding RNA (430 nucleotides) under Acacia rhodophloia. RNAcentral describes it as "partial external transcribed spacer". The record is from RNAcentral. Lineage: Eukaryota; Viridiplantae; Streptophyta; Magnoliopsida; Fabales; Fabaceae.
WCUGUCGGCUGGCUCGUGCCGUCACCGAACGGUCGGCAGGCGAUCCGCGUCGGUCAGCGAGGCGGUAUGGUUCCCUUGAGGCCGGUUCUUGUGCUGCCUACCCCUUCAGGGGAAGCGGGCCAGUUGAUGUAAAAGCCUCCAUCCGGCGCCCUCCAACGGGCGCAGGAGGACAACGUAACACCCCCCGCGUUCCACCGAGCCUUACCCGGUCGCGUGGCGCGCGGGGACGUGCGAUGCUCUCGGACCCAGCGAACGCCGUGGGCGAGGACUCACGUCCCACUCCCGAUAGAAGCUCCGAUAUAUAAUGCAUGACGACCGCUCCCGACCCCAGACCGCCCCGGCGGCGCGGGGGCGAGGCGCGGCGUCGCGGAGGAAUGCUACCUGGUUGAUCCUGCCAGUAKUCAUAUGCUUGUCUCAAAGAUUAAGCCAU